RNAcentral lists this ribosomal RNA (727 nucleotides) under uncultured bacterium. RNAcentral's name for it is "bacterial SSU rRNA". It matches the Rfam family "Bacterial small subunit ribosomal RNA", at positions 771 to 1501 of the family's 1533-position model. The record is from RNAcentral.
AACAGGAUUAGAUACCCUGGUAGUCCACGCCCUAAACGGUGUCUACUAGUUGUCGGGUCUUAAUUGACUUGGUAACGCAGCUAACGCGUGAAGUAGACCGCCUGGGGAGUACGGUCGCAAGAUUAAAACUCAAAGGAAUUGACGGGGACCCGCACAAGCGGUGGAUGAUGUGGUUUAAUUCGAUGCAACGCGAAAAACCUUACCUACACUUGACAUGCCAGAAAUCCCGCAGAGAUGUGGGAGUGCCGCAAGGAAUCUGGGCACAGGUGCUGCAUGGCUGUCGUCAGCUCGUGUCGUGAGAUGUUGGGUUAAGUCCCGCAACGAGCGCAACCCUUGUCACUAGUUGCUACAUUUAGUUGGGCACUCUAGUGAGACUGCCGGUGACAAACCGGAGGAAGGUGGGGAUGACGUCAAGUCCUCAUGGCCCUUAUGUGUAGGGCUACACACGUCAUACAAUGGUCGGUACAGAGGGUUGCCAACCCGCGAGGGGGAGCUAAUCUCACAAAGCCGAUCGUAGUCCGGAUCGCAGUCUGCAACUCGACUGCGUGAAGUCGGAAUCGCUAGUAAUCGUGGAUCAGCAUGUCACGGUGAAUACGUUCCCGGGUCUUGUACACACCGCCCGUCACACCAUGGGAGUGGAAUCCGCCAGAAGUAGGUAGCCUAACCGCAAGGGGGGCGCUUACCACGGUAGGUUUCAUGACUGGGGUGAAGUCGUAACAAGGUAACC